GGCUCAGAUUGAACGCUAGCGGGAUGCCUUACACAUGCAAGUCGAACGGCAGCACGGACUUCGGUCUGGUGGCGAGUGGCGAACGGGUGAGUAAUGUAUCGGAACGUGCCUAGUAGCGGGGGAUAACUACGCGAAAGCGUAGCUAAUACCGCAUACGCCCUACGGGGGAAAGCAGGGGAUCGCAAGACCUUGCACUAUUAGAGCGGCCGAUAUCGGAUUAGCUAGUUGGUGGGGUAACGGCUCACCAAGGCGACGAUCCGUAGCUGGUUUGAGAGGACGACCAGCCACACUGGGACUGAGACACGGCCCAGACUCCUACGGGAGGCAGCAGUGGGGAAUUUUGGACAAUGGGGGAAACCCUGAUCCAGCCAUCCCGCGUGUGCGAUGAAGGCCUUCGGGUUGUAAAGCACUUUUGGCAGGAAAGAAACGUCAUGGGUUAAUACCCCGUGAAACUGACGGUACCUGCAGAAUAAGCACCGGCUAACUACGUGCCAGCAGCCGCGGUAAUACGUAGGGUGCAAGCGUUAAUCGGAAUUACUGGGCGUAAAGCGUGCGCAGGCGGUUCGGAAAGAAAGAUGUGAAAUCCCAGAGCUUAACUUUGGAACUGCAUUUUUAACUACCGAGCUAGAGUGUGUCAGAGGGAGGUGGAAUUCCGCGUGUAGCAGUGAAAUGCGUAGAUAUGCGGAGGAACACCGAUGGCGAAGGCAGCCUCCUGGGAUAA
Molecule: ribosomal RNA, 721 nt
Filed under: Achromobacter sp. 110602_136_C_B9
Lineage: Bacteria; Pseudomonadati; Pseudomonadota; Betaproteobacteria; Burkholderiales; Alcaligenaceae
Description: bacterial SSU rRNA
Rfam family: Bacterial small subunit ribosomal RNA
Source: RNAcentral